Dendronephthya gigantea is the source of this 216-nucleotide long non-coding RNA. RefSeq lists it as uncharacterized. The record is from RefSeq and is a predicted model, not a curated record. NCBI's taxonomy places the organism in Eukaryota, Metazoa, Cnidaria, Anthozoa, Malacalcyonacea, Nephtheidae. The transcript is spliced from 3 exons.
CUUGAUGGCUUUUCCUCAAGAAUCUACAGAAAUGACAGAAUAUGGUUUUGAAGAGUAUGGUUGCCUGAGUUAAAAUUGGAGAUUCCGUCUCAUGUACGUUUAAAAAAGUCACGUUUUGUCGCUGUCUCACGGUUAGCUCUGGAAACCCACCAGGUUCUUCUCUCCGAGGUCGUCUCAAUGGUUCACAUGAUUUCAGUGCUAGAACACCACGACCAC